AGAUUGAACGCUGGCGGCAUGCCUUACACAUGCAAGUCGAACGGCAGCACGGGAGCAAUCCUGGUGGCGAGUGGCGAACGGGUGAGUAAUACAUCGGAACGUGCCCAAUCGUGGGGGAUAACGCAGCGAAAGCUGUGCUAAUACCGCAUAAGAUCUACGGAUGAAAGCAGGGGAUCGUAAGACCUUGCGCGAAUGGAGCGGCCGAUGGCAGAUUAAGUAGUUGGUGAGGUAAGGCUCACCAAGCCUUCGAUCUGUAGCUGGUCUGAGAGGACGACCAGCCACACUGGGACUGAGACACGGCCCAGACUCCGUACGGGAGCAGCGAGGUGGGGGUAAUUUUGGAACGAAUGGGGACGAAAG
Molecule: ribosomal RNA, 360 nt
Filed under: uncultured soil bacterium
Lineage: Bacteria
Description: bacterial SSU rRNA
Rfam family: Bacterial small subunit ribosomal RNA
Source: RNAcentral